GACUUUGUAGCUUAGUGGUAAAGCAGGCACCUAGAGUAGCCCUUUCCCGGUUUGAGUCCCGGUGGAGUCA
Molecule: transfer RNA, 70 nt
Filed under: Puccinia coronata f. sp. avenae
Lineage: Eukaryota; Fungi; Basidiomycota; Pucciniomycetes; Pucciniales; Pucciniaceae
Description: Puccinia coronata var. avenae f. sp. avenae partial tRNA-Ser
Rfam family: tRNA
About the family: Transfer RNA (tRNA) molecules are approximately 80 nucleotides in length. Their secondary structure includes four short double-helical elements and three loops (D, anti-codon, and T loops).
Source: RNAcentral